CAGUGAUAAACUGGAGGAAGGUGGGGAUGACGUCAAGUCAUCAUGGCCCUUACGACCAGGGCUACACACGUGCUACAAUGGCGCAUACAAAGAGAAGCGACCUCGCGAGAGCAAGCGGACCUCAUAAAGUGCGUCGUAGUCCGGAUUGGAGUCUGCAACUCGACUCCAUGAAGUCGGAAUCGCUAGUAAUCGUGGAUCAGAAUGCCACGGUGAAUACGUUCCCGGGCCUUGUACACACCGCCCGUCACACCAUGGGAGUGGGUUGCAAAAGAAGUAGGUAGCUUAACCUUCGGGAG
This 296-nucleotide ribosomal RNA is filed under the name Salmonella enterica subsp. enterica serovar Schwarzengrund. RNAcentral's name for it is "partial 16S ribosomal RNA". It matches the Rfam family "Bacterial small subunit ribosomal RNA", at positions 1153 to 1448 of the family's 1533-position model. RNAcentral also lists the same sequence under 1 other name. Lineage: Bacteria; Pseudomonadati; Pseudomonadota; Gammaproteobacteria; Enterobacterales; Enterobacteriaceae. The record is from RNAcentral.